GUUGUCCACUGAUGCUUUCUCUCUCUUUCCCUGUGCAGACCAACAGACUGAACUCGAUUCCUUUGAUGUUAGUUUCAGUUCCCGUGCCUCUGGUCCCGCUCCUUCCUGCCAACUCACCAUAUAACCGCCAUCUUGUCCGUUGGAUUCAGUUCUGCUUUUAAUUCAGUCUGUAAAGACCAUUAUUUUCAACUUGCUUGCCAGACAGCUGGUCAUGAAAGCAAAACUAUGAAACACCUGCAGUUGUGUGUGCUGAAGCAAGCACAGGAUGGGAUAAAGAAGAUCACAUAAUGGAAAUCCAGUCUGAGCAGGUCAACAUCUAGUUCCAGCCCCAGUGACAUCACUUCCUCUGACCCAUCUAUAAGCACACCAUCUU
Polypterus senegalus (gray bichir) is the source of this 373-nucleotide long non-coding RNA. RefSeq lists it as uncharacterized. The transcript is spliced from 3 exons. The record is from RefSeq and is a predicted model, not a curated record. NCBI's taxonomy places the organism in Eukaryota, Metazoa, Chordata, Cladistia, Polypteriformes, Polypteridae.